GGGAAUCUACCGUGCCCUGCGGAAUAGCUCCGGGAAACUGGAAUUAAUACCGCAUACGCCCUACGGGGGAAAGAUUUAUCGGGGUAUGUUGAGCCCGCGUUGGAUUAGCUAGUUGGUGGGGUAAAGGCCUACCAAGGCGACGAUCCAUAGCUGGUCUGAGAGGAUGAUCAGCCACAUUGGGACUGAGACACGGCCCAAACUCCUACGGGAGGCAGCAGUGGGGAAUAUUGGACAAUGGGCGCAAGCCUGAUCCAGCCAUGCCGCGUGAGUGAUGAAGGCCUUAGGGUUGUAAAGCUCUUUCACCGGAGAAGAUAAUGACGGUAUCCGGAGAAGAAGCCCCGGCUAACUUCGUGCCAGCAGCCGCGGUAAUACGAAGGGGGCUAGCGUUGUUCGGAAUUACUGGGCGUAAAGCGCACGCAGGCGGAUAUUUAAGUCAGGGGUGAAAUCCCAGAGCUCAACUCUGGAACUGCCUUUGAUACUGGGUAUCUUGAGUAUGGAAGAGGUAAGUGGAAUUGCGAGU
This 520-nucleotide ribosomal RNA is filed under the name uncultured bacterium. Its description in RNAcentral is "bacterial SSU rRNA". It matches the Rfam family "Bacterial small subunit ribosomal RNA", at positions 120 to 674 of the family's 1533-position model. The record is from RNAcentral.